Molecule: ribosomal RNA, 430 nt
Filed under: uncultured archaeon
Lineage: Archaea
Description: bacterial SSU rRNA
Rfam family: Archaeal small subunit ribosomal RNA
Source: RNAcentral
CACCAGCCCCUCGAGUGGUGGGGAUGAUUAUUUGGCCUAAAGCGUCCGUAGCCGGCCUGAUAAGUUUCCCGUUAAAUCCAACGUCUCAAGCGUUGGACUGCGGGAAAUACUGUCUGGCUAGAGAGUGGGAGAGGUUAGCGGUAUUCCGGGGGUAGGGGCGAAAUCCUUUGAUCCCCGGAGGACCACCAGUGGCGAAGGCUGCUAACUAGAACACGUCUGACGGUCAGGGACGAAAGCUGGGGUAGCGAACCGGACUAGAUACCCCGGGUAGUCCCAGCCGUAAACGAUGCAUGCUAGGUGUUGGGUUGGCCACGAGCCACCCCAGUGCCGCAGGGAAGCCGUUAAGCAUGCCGCCUGGGAAGUACGAUCGCAAGAUUGAAACUUAAAGGAAUUGGCGGGGGAGCACCACAAGGCGUGAAGCUUGCGGUUC